CACGGAAUCGAGAGCUCCAA
RNAcentral lists this small nuclear RNA (20 nucleotides) under Arabidopsis thaliana (thale cress). Its description in RNAcentral is "snRNA_19051". The record is from RNAcentral. Lineage: Eukaryota; Viridiplantae; Streptophyta; Magnoliopsida; Brassicales; Brassicaceae.